Patella vulgata (common limpet) is the source of this 401-nucleotide long non-coding RNA. RefSeq lists it as uncharacterized. The transcript is spliced from 3 exons. NCBI's taxonomy places the organism in Eukaryota, Metazoa, Mollusca, Gastropoda, Patellidae. The record is from RefSeq and is a predicted model, not a curated record.
UUUUCAGUUCAUGUCUUAUUACGAGUAUAUAGCUGGUAUAUACCGUUUGGUUGACCGUUAUGUCCAUCUCAAUCCGAAUGUAUGGAUUUAUAGUUAUAAUUACCGUUCUAUACAAGAUCCUACUCCUAAAUAUUGGGGCACUUAUCAUGCUAUUGAACUCCAAUAUCAAUUUGGUAUGCCGUUUAUUAGCAAAUUUAGCCAACCGUGGAAAUGGAACAGCAUUUGGCCAACCGCUAUCAAAUGGACUGUAGCUGAUAAACUUCAUUCUCGGAAUAUGAUGGAACUGUGGUCUAAUUUUGCUAAAUUGUUAAACCCAAAUAAAGAGAAAUAUCAGCACCCCGUAUGGACAAAUUACCAAGAAUAUAAUAAAGUUUAUAUUGAUAUUGAUAAAAGUAACAGCA